Girardinichthys multiradiatus is the source of this 774-nucleotide long non-coding RNA. RefSeq lists it as uncharacterized. The transcript has 3 exons. The record is from RefSeq and is a predicted model, not a curated record. Lineage: Eukaryota; Metazoa; Chordata; Actinopteri; Cyprinodontiformes; Goodeidae.
GUUCUCCUGGUUAUUUCUUGUUUCUGUGCUGUCAUUAGUCUAAUCUCCUCAGAUCCCUGGCCGCCCUCCCCACUUUCCCCACCAUUUGGGUCAUAAAGCCAGAACUGAUGUUUGCAUGGCCACACUGACAGGGUUGGACCUGUCUCGUCCCCAUGAGUCCAGUACAUGUGGCCGGAUGCCAGGCUAAGAAGUUCAAUGCAGUCAUCUGGUAGGAUUACUGGAGUUCUGUGGAUGGGUGAGAGGAGGGGAAGCGGGUCCAGGACGGAGCAGCAACUUCCUGCCGUGUCUCACUGAAGCCAAUGUGAACGGCAGACGGCGGGAGGUGGAAAACGGCGGCUGCUGGAGUUGCUCCAGUCACUGUUUUGGCAAAGUCACUACUGGGACAGAUGGCCCAGUCGUCGCUGAACACACACUGAAACACAGAGACAGACACGGAAAAGCCCCUGACAGAGGACGAUGCAUGAGCACAAGCACAGGGUGGCAAACAAGUGCCAGCAGAUUAAUGCAGAGCCACCUACAGACAGAAACAUGUGAAUAAACACACACACACACACACACACACACACACACACACACACACACACACACACACACACACACACACAAACUUAGUCUACAUCAAAUUAGGGAUUAGAUUAAAUGCCACAUCGAAUCCACUUUAUUUUCCCGUCCUUCAAUCCUGUAACCCGGCCUUUUACAACAUACAAAAUAUAAACAGCAACUGUGCUGACAGAUUAGUUUUGUGUACUUGUAUAUAUAAGAGAUAACAGCCGA